AAAGUCGUAACAAGGUUUCCGUAGGUGAACCUGCGGAAGGAUCAUUAACACUUUUUAUUAUUUUGUUUUUUUUUCUAAAACAAAAUUUAAAACCCCACAAUUUUGGAUGAAUUUAAUUUAUUUAUUUUUUAUUUUAUUUUUUUUAUUAUAACCCUAUUAUUUUGACUAACAUUUUUAUUUAAUUAUUAAAAAAUUAAAAAAACAACUGUUAACAACGGAUAUCUUGGCUCUC
Molecule: unclassified non-coding RNA, 232 nt
Filed under: fungal sp.
Lineage: Eukaryota; Fungi
Description: partial internal transcribed spacer region
Rfam family: Eukaryotic small subunit ribosomal RNA (bases 1-47)
Source: RNAcentral